GUUGGUGUGGCAGACCCCGGCAAAUGCAAAAGACCUAAGCCCUUUUAACAGAGGUUCAAGUCCUCUCGCCAACU
RNAcentral lists this transfer RNA (74 nucleotides) under Trimma caesiura (Caesiura dwarfgoby). RNAcentral's name for it is "tRNA-Leu". It matches the Rfam family "tRNA". From Rfam's summary of the family: Transfer RNA (tRNA) molecules are approximately 80 nucleotides in length. Their secondary structure includes four short double-helical elements and three loops (D, anti-codon, and T loops). Lineage: Eukaryota; Metazoa; Chordata; Actinopteri; Gobiiformes; Gobiidae. The record is from RNAcentral.